GAUGAACGCUGGCGGCGUGCCUAAUACAUGCAAGUCGAGCGAACAGACGAGGAGCUUGCUCCUCUGACGUUAGCGGCGGACGGGUGAGUAACACGUGGAUAACCUACUUAUAAGACUGGGAUAACUUCGGGAAACCGGAGCUAAUACCGGAUAAUAUAUUGAACCGCAUGGUUCAAUAGUGAAAGACGGUUUUGCUGUCACUUAUAGAUGGAUCCGCGCCGCAUUAGCUAGUUGGUAAGGUAACGGCUUACCAAGGCAACGAUGCGUAGCCGACCUGAGAGGGUGAUCGGCCACACUGGAACUGAGACACGGUCCAGACUCCUACGGGAGGCAGCAGUAGGGAAUCUUCCGCGAUGGGCGAAAGCCUGACGGAGCAACGCCGCGUGAGUGAUGAAGGUCUUCGGAUCGUAAAACUCUGUUAUUAGGGAAGAACAAAUGUGUAAGUAACUAUGCACGUCUUGACGGUACCUAAUCAGAAAGCCACGGCUAACUACG
RNAcentral lists this ribosomal RNA (495 nucleotides) under uncultured bacterium. RNAcentral describes it as "partial 16S ribosomal RNA". It matches the Rfam family "Bacterial small subunit ribosomal RNA", at positions 28 to 505 of the family's 1533-position model. The record is from RNAcentral.